CCAGCUGAUUACAACUGAAGUCAUACAGGAUGUUUCUAACUUUCAAUUGAAGUUGACGCCAUCCUGACAAGUUACGAUAUGCAACACCAGAAAAGAAAUUCCAUGCAAUCGGACUUGAUUCAGCCAUUCCUCGUCAAUGACAAUAACACAAAUGAAGUGAUAACUCGUGCCAGGAAAACCAUAAUAACGCAUCUACUAUUCGCGAUCUUGACUAUAGCUUUGAUUACUGUGGUUGUGUUAUUGGUUAUCUGGAUGAUCUGUGUACCGCCUAAGCCAGUCAUCAAUUAUGCAUGUAAAGAUCCCUGCAUAAUCACAUUAGUUGAAAGUAUUCCUGAAAAUCUGACAUAUCCAACGAAUUUUUCCCAACAUUUAUCAAUAUUCGAAGGAUGGAUAAACUUGAUAAACAUGGCAGAACACAGUAUAGACAUAGCUUCAUUUUACUGGUCUCUGAGAGGGUCUGAUGUCAUACCUGACCCAUCAGACUGGCAGGGUGAACACAUUUAUUCUGAAAUUCUCAGAGCUGGCACAGAAAGAGGAAUUGAUAUAAGGAUUGCCCAAUCACAACCAACAGACGCGGAACCCACUAAAGAUACAAAAGAUUUAGCCAAAGCCGGAGCUGCUGAAGUUCGUAGUUUAGAUUUUGAGAGAUUCAUGCCAUCGCAUUCUGGAAUCCUGCACACUAAAAUGUGGCUGGUGGACGGUAAACAUUUCUUUAUUGGAAGCGCCAACAUGGACUGGAGGUCAUUGACCCAGGUGAAAGAACUUGGAGCGAUUGUUUACAACUGCAGCUGUUUAGCACAGGAUAUGGGGAAGAUAUUUGAGACAUACUGGUAUAUGGGAGAACCCAAUUCCACAAAUACCAAAGCAGUGGCCAUCUGAAUAUGAGACUGACUUUAAUAUAACCAAUCCACUGCAGUUGAGUUUUAAUGAUACAGCAACUUCAACUUUGAUUGCAAGUUCCCCACCUGCGCUAUGUCCAUUCGGUCGUAGUUCCGAUAUUGACGCCAUACUACAUGUUAUCGAUUCAGCUCAGUCGUUUGUUAACAUUGCCGUCAUGGAUUAUAUUCCUGCCAUAGUUUUUACGAAUCCUAAAAGUUUUUGGUCAAUUAUUGAUGACAAGUUACGAAGUGUUGCUUAUAAUAAAAAUAUUCAUGUACGUCUGUUAGGGAGUAUAUGGAAUCACACAGAACCCGAAAUGUUGAACUUUUUAAUAUCAUUAUCAGCUCUUGAUGGCAUACAGGGACGCGUUGAAGUGCAGAUUCUGUACCCAGAUAUAAAAUAUCACUCUACAGGAACAUCUAAUUGGUCUGGUGACUACUUUGUGUCCACAGGUGGAAUUGGAUUUGUAGUUAACCAAACCAGUAACCAUAACGAUGACUCUUUGGAAGAUGAAAACUUCCAGAAACAGUUAUUAAGUGUAUUUGAAAGAGACUGGUAUUCAACAUAUGCAACAAAUAUUCCGUCAGUCUAA
This is a non-coding RNA of Saccoglossus kowalevskii, 1471 nucleotides long. The record is from RefSeq and is a predicted model, not a curated record. Lineage: Eukaryota; Metazoa; Hemichordata; Enteropneusta; Harrimaniidae.